Pelobates cultripes (western spadefoot toad) is the source of this 526-nucleotide non-coding RNA. The record is from the annotation of a GenBank genome assembly. Lineage: Eukaryota; Metazoa; Chordata; Amphibia; Anura; Pelobatidae.
CUCAUUUAGUAAGGUCAGGAUUUGGUUAAACUUAUAGUCGAUCUGUAGCAGUAUUGGUGGUUAGGACAAGGGGAUAGGAUUAUAGGCAUGGGAUUAGAGCUUUGGCUGAGGAUGUUGAAGGUUACAGCCCUGAAAACAGGACCCUUAGUCCCCUUUACGGUAUGUAUCUCUAAAUCUAUCUCAUGGGAUACAAUACAAAACAUGGCCUUGUAAUGAUGUUCCUGUUAUAAAGUAAUCUAUAAUGUUGCUGGGAAGUUUUUAAUGAAACAGUCUUUAUACCUUAUAGUUAUACUUUUGUGAUGUGAUUACCAUAGAUAGACACUGUUCCAAUGGUAUAUCUAUCUAUUUUUUUGUACCUGCAUUUAAAAGCAGAAAGUAGUUUGGGAUGGGCCCCUCUGCCUCCAUGUCUGAAAAACAAAACUGACCAAAGUGUGUAAAGAGAGCACAGACCAAGGUGUGGUUGCAGAAUAAACAAAUUCUAAGCUACAGGGAACGGGGGCUAUUGAAUUAUGGAUGAGAUAAAUGG